AUACGGAGGGUCCAAUCGUUAUCCGGAAUCAUUGGGCUUAAAGGGUUCGUAGGCGGGUCAAUAAGUCAGAGGUGAAAUCUUGCAGCUUAACUGUAAAAUUGCCUUUGAAACUGUUGACCUUGAAUUACUGUGAAGCGGUUAGAAUAUGUAGUGUAGCGGUGAAAUGCUUAGAGAUUACAUAGAAUACCGAUUGCGAAGGCAGAUCACUAACAGUAUAUUGACGCUGAUGAACGAAAGCGUGGGUAGCGAACGGGAUUAGAAACCCGAGUAGUCC
RNAcentral lists this ribosomal RNA (274 nucleotides) under uncultured bacterium. RNAcentral's name for it is "partial 16S ribosomal RNA". It matches the Rfam family "Bacterial small subunit ribosomal RNA", at positions 523 to 796 of the family's 1533-position model. The record is from RNAcentral.